Molecule: non-coding RNA, 103 nt
Organism: Alligator sinensis (Chinese alligator)
Lineage: Eukaryota; Metazoa; Chordata; Crocodylia; Alligatoridae
Source: Rfam
CGCGGUGUAGCCCAAACCCCGACAGUCCCGGCAGCGGCUCCAGGCCGAAAGAGAAGCGGUGGCGCCAGCCCCAUAGCGGAGGAGCGCAGCCAUCUCUCCGAGG